CUGGGUAACACUGCUCACAUAGGGAAAAUACCGAAAGACCCAGCUUUUGGGUCUUUGCAGGGAAAAUCCAUCCUUUCAACAUGGGGCCAUAGUCACAGGGCAGGAGGCCGGCAAUCAGUCUUCUCCAAUGCCCAGUGGCGAGGCUGGUUCCGCCACACAUAUCAACCAAGGCAGCCGCCCACGUUAUUAAUCCUGCCCACAUGGUUCCG
Pelobates cultripes (western spadefoot toad) is the source of this 209-nucleotide non-coding RNA. NCBI's taxonomy places the organism in Eukaryota, Metazoa, Chordata, Amphibia, Anura, Pelobatidae. The record is from the annotation of a GenBank genome assembly.